UGGGGAAUAUUGGACAAUGGGGGCAACCCUGAUCCAGCGACGCCGCGUGAAUGAAGAAGGUCUUCGGAUUGUAAAGUUCUUUUGCCUGAGAGCAAGUGUAUAUGGUUAAGAGCUGUGUACAUUGAGAGUAUCAGGAGAAUAAGCACCGGCUAACUACGUGCCAGCAGCCGCGGUAAUACGUAGGGUGCAAGCGUUAAUCGGAAUUACUGGGCGUAAAGGGUGUGUAGGCGGAAAUAUAAGUUAGAUGUGAAAUACCUGGGCUUAACCUGGGAGGUGCAUUUAAGACUGUAUAUCUAGAAUACUUCAGAGGGGGGUAGAAUUCCGAGUGUAGCAGUGAUAUGCGUAGAUAUUCGGAGGAAUACCGAUGGCGAAGGCAACCCCCUGGGGAGAUAUUGACGCU
RNAcentral lists this ribosomal RNA (400 nucleotides) under uncultured bacterium. Its description in RNAcentral is "bacterial SSU rRNA". It matches the Rfam family "Bacterial small subunit ribosomal RNA", at positions 355 to 747 of the family's 1533-position model. The record is from RNAcentral.